Molecule: ribosomal RNA, 403 nt
Filed under: uncultured soil bacterium
Lineage: Bacteria
Description: bacterial SSU rRNA
Rfam family: Bacterial small subunit ribosomal RNA
Source: RNAcentral
AGAUUGAACGCUAGCGGGAUGCUUUACACAUGCAAGUCGAACGGCAGCGCGGACUUCGGUCUGGCGGCGAGUGGCGAACGGGUGAGUAAUAUAUCGGAACGUGCCCAGUAGGCGGGGGAUAACUACGCGAAAGCGUGGCUAAUACCGCAUACGCCCGUAACGGGGGAAAGGGGGGGAUCGCAAGACCUCUCACUAUUGGAGCGGCCGAUAUCAGAUUAGCUAGUUGGUGAGGUAAAGGCUCAACCAAGGCGACGAUCUGUAGCUGGUUGAGAGGACGACCAGCCACACGUGGACUGAGACCGACCGGCCCAAGACCUCCGUACGGGAGGACAGCGAAGGUAGGGGUAAUUUGGAACAAGGUACGGGGGAAACCCUGAACUCCGAAGCCCACUCCCGGCGUGUG